This 72-nucleotide transfer RNA is filed under the name Camelus dromedarius (Arabian camel). It matches the Rfam family "tRNA". Rfam says of the family: Transfer RNA (tRNA) molecules are approximately 80 nucleotides in length. Lineage: Eukaryota; Metazoa; Chordata; Mammalia; Artiodactyla; Camelidae. RNAcentral also lists the same sequence under 1 other name. The record is from Rfam by way of RNAcentral.
AGGGGUAGAGCUCAGUGGUAGAGCACGUGCUUAGCAUGCACCAGGUCCUGAGUUCAAUCCCCAGUACCUCCA